This 6920-nucleotide long non-coding RNA is filed under the name Homo sapiens (human). RNAcentral describes it as "non-protein coding STXBP5-AS1:12". The record is from RNAcentral. Lineage: Eukaryota; Metazoa; Chordata; Mammalia; Primates; Hominidae.
CAGAAAUUCAUCCCCUCUUCCUAGGAGCUGAACUUCUGCAGCUGGCAGAGACUCCCUGCAUGUUUUCUGAGAAGAGCUCAGGGACAUAAGAAUUCAUUCUGUGGAGCAUAACCAGGCUUUUAGCCUCCAUCCCACACACAGCUACACAUGCUGUAGUAGGGGAGAGGCCAAGGACGUUGUCUGGAAAGGUGUAAGGCCAACCACAGAGUCCCCGGGCCGCGUCCUGGACCCACGCUAAUCAUUCCACCCCCAAGUAAUUGUGGGAUAAUGUGUUCCCUUCUUCAUAGGCAAAGCAGGUUAUGGAAAUUAUUUUAUGAAAAGUACCUGGGAGUGUUGCCAAGCUAAUUUUUGGUUCAUUAUACCAUCUAUUAUUAAUACAUUAUCACAUAAUGAUUGUAUGGUCUGAUCUUUCCCUCAUACAUACUAUGGUGGUUUUUCCGUUUGUGUGUGUGCAGUGUAACUGGAUCUUGGUUCAUGCUGAGCUUAAAAUUUGAUCUUCUGAAUAUCAGCAGAAAGACUCUUUCUGGUGAAUACAGAUCUUCUGAGCAAUUAUCGACUGACUUUGUCAUUAGACUGCCCUUUCAGAAGGUACAAAAAAAGAAAAAGAAAAUUACUACUGUGAAGUGAAGUCUGAGCAACUGGGAAGAAAUGCAAGGUGAAAUGAAAUGGUGAAGUUGUCAGUGACAUGAAUCUUUGCUCCCUUCUUCAUGGAAUAUUUCUGAUCUAAUAGCCCCUAUAUUUCAAAAGAUGGAUAUAAACAUCAGAUGAAUAUCACAGGAAAGCUGGAUUGCUCUGCAGUGAGUGAAACGUGGAAAGGCCUUUCCCCACCAAGCAGUAGGCCAAAUUGUAACAGUAAGAUGUAUUUGAAAUAAAAUGGUUCAUAGAUCAGAGGUGAUCCUGUCUUUUUUAAAGCGUGAAAGUGUUCCUUCUGCAGAAUGAGGCUCAAAAGAGGAACAUGAAUAAUUUGAUAUUUAUUAUGUUAUGAUCUGCUUUAAUCCAUUAUAUAUAUGAAAUAGUGUGUGUGUGUGUGUAUAUAUAUAUAUGUAUAGAUGAUACAGAAAUAUGAUUCUUUAAAAGGCUACAUAUUUAAUAUGCUUUCACUCUUAGCCCAGAGCAAAGCUGGUUUCUUCCUGCAGAUAAAUCAUCCCCAGCUCUGGAGUUCUAUAUAGUUGACUUUAAAUAGUCACUUGGUCUCAGAUUUUGCUGGAUUUCCAGUGUGAUAGAUGAAAGGAUGCUGCACUUCUUACUCAACUACAUCUCCUCUUUUACAUUUCAGGCCAUACCUUUCCAUUAAUUAAUGCAUACUGUCGUCAGCUCAGUCUUCCAUCUUCUUUAAUCAUUUCAGCACCUGAUCCACAAUUUUGCUUCCCACACCACCUCUGACAACAUCCUUGUACUGGUCAAGUUUAUGAGCAUUCUGGCACCUUACCAUUUAACACAUAACACCCUGUGUUGGUAAAUAUAUUUUUAUCUCCCUGCACAUCGAAGUAUAACUUGGCAUUUCCCAUACAGAAACCAUAAUGAUGCACUGCAAAUAACUCAAGCUUCACAAAUAUUUGCUCUGACCCAAUGUGUGGCAGGGCAAUUUUAAUCCCGGAUUCACCAUCCUUACCAUUCCCACCACCUUUAAUCCUCUCUAGAGUCCAGCAUCUACCAAGGCUGUGCUAGUAGAAGAGGGCUUUUGAAAUGUAAUCAGGCUGGGAAGAAAAUGCACUUUUAUUUUAGGAAAAUUCAGGAGAAAUUGGCAGGAAGCUAAUCUCAGUGCAGCAUGUCUGCUUAUCCCUUUUUCUCUCCUGCAGAGGCCAGUUCACUAUGAGGGCUCUGCUGUCCUUGCCAGCCUUCAAGCAAUCAACGGCUCUUGUCCAGCAGUGGCUCAAACUCCUGGCCAUUCACCCCAGGGACAGAAGCCAGUGGAGGGAGCAGUCAUUGUUAUUUACUUUUCAUUGGCAGGUGGUGACCAGAUGGAUAUAAACGGGCUGUGGAAAAAGAGAAUGCAUGGCCAAAAAUGGUGGUGCUCUCUGUCCAAAAACUGAGGCCCUAUGACCAUGAAUGAAGCCAGAGGGCAGGUAGGAAUAGAUCAUUUGCUCCAGAAGAAGCUGGUUGCCAUGUCUUGAGGACAGUAAACCCUCUGGGGAGGUUCCUGUGGUAAGGAACAAGGGCUCCUGGCAAUAGCCUCUGAGUGAGCCACCUUGAAAAUGGAUUGUCCAGCCCCAGUCAAGCUUUCAGAUGACUGUAGCUCCUGCCAAUGUCUUCACCACAACCUCAUGAGAUCCCAAGCUACAACCACUCAGUUAAGUUAUGCCAAAAUUCCUGAUUCACAGAAAUUGACAUACAGGAGAGGUCACAGUUAAGAUCUUGAUGUUCUAUCUUGACCCAUAAUAUAGGAACUUCAUCUUUUGGGAAGCACCAGGGAGAGCUGCCUGUGCCUGGCAGAAGCUGCCCAUGCCCCACUGAUACCCCACAGUACUUCCUGUUCUGCUUAGUACUCCUGCUUCUUUCUACAAACAACUGUGAUUCUCUACCUGGGAGCUUCCUCUGGCCACAGGAGCCUGCUCACCUGAUUGGGACACCCUAGCAGUACUGGCUCAUAGAUGGAAGGGACUUGCCUUGUCGCUGAUGAGACUUUCGACUUGGACUUUUGAGUCAAUGCUGGAAUGAGUUAAGACUUUGGGGAACUGUUGGAAGGGUGUGAUUGUGUUUUGAAUUGUGAGGACAUGAGAUUUUGAAGAGGCUAAUGGCAGCGUCCCCACCUAAAUCUCUUCUUGAAUUGUAGUUCCCAUAAUCCCCACGUGUCGUGGGGUGGAGCCGGUGGAGAUAAUUGAAUCAUGGGAACACUUUCCCCCAUGCUGUUAUUGUGAUUGUGAAUUCUCACGAGAUCUGAUGGUUGUAUAAACGCCUUCCCUCUUCGCUGGGCACUCAUUUUUCUCCUUCCUGCCACCAUGUGAAGAAGGAUAUGCUUGCUUCUUGUGCCAUGAUUACAAGAACACACUCAGAAAUUUUCUCAACACAGUUUCUAUGCAGAGAAGAGAUGUGGGACAGAUUUGAACUGCUGUCAUAUUUGUAUGAACCCAAGACAUUUUCCAAGACCAAGAGGGAUAAAGACAGCAAUUUCUAUGACUGGCAUUUUACGUGCAUGCACUGUUUCCAAGUGUUCUUGUGUUCUGUGCCUUAAACAUUCUGUGUUGCAACUUUAUGAAUUGAAUUAAAGAUAAUCCCAAGCCCCCAAUUGUCUCAAAAAGUGAAAAAGUAAAUGUUAUAGAAAGAAAAGCGGGAAAAACUUUAAGCAUGAAAUAAAAGAUGGGUUGUGAUAAAAGAGGACUGAAGAAGGAAAAGGAAUGAAAGGUUCUGCCAUCCUUCAUGGCAGCCCACUCCACUUGGUAUGAGAUACUGCUCCCUUGGCUGAAAGUUAACUGCUGUACUCCCUCCACUUUCUAUAAAUGACUCCCUGUGCCUUUCCUUCACCACACAACUCACACUCUCUUCCUUCCUAGUGAGUCCACUAAGGCUUCACUGCAUUAUUACAUUUAUUUCAUUUAGGAAAAACUGACUUUAUUUUCCUUCAAAUUGUUUUUUAUUGUUUAUAUGAGCUUGGUUUUAUUGUCAUUCUAUUUUUCUCCAUGAAAAUAGAGAAAAAUAGGGUCGAAAGGUUAGGUUGGGUGGAAAGGAAUUAUAUUUUUUCUCACUAAAAUUGAUGUAAAUAUCGUUUUCAAUUGAAUGAUUUUACACAGUGGCACAGUUUCAGGUAUGUUGCUAAGCAGGAAAGUUGUUAACCAAAGCAUGAAUGUAUUAAGGAGAUGUAUGCAGAAUGACAUGCAAGGUUAUCUAUGAUUGCUGAGUGAGAAAGAGCAAGUUGCUGAGUAUUAUAUAAGUAUGAUCUCACUUUUGUAAAAAAAAAAAAAAAAAAAGGCCUGGACUGAUCUGAAAUGACCCUAUUAAUAACAAUUAUGUCCAGGUCUGUAUUGCAUACUUGUCAUUCAUUACAGGAUCUUGAGACACAAUGCAAAGGAUCACAUCGCAGCUCUGUAACUUGUUAACUAUAAGAUUUUGAGUAACAUAACACCUUACUCCUUAAAAUUGCUUAAAAAAAAUCUGAACAUCAGGAAUAUUCUACUUCACAGGGUCGUUGUGAUAAUUAAAUGUAGUAAUCAAUGACAAUAGUGCCAGAUACAGUAGAUAGCCUACACUUUGCAGCUACUAUUUCUAUCUAUCAUCCAUCUAUUAAUAUAUAUCAUCUAUCUUUAACUUAUCAUCUAUCUUGUUCCAGUUUUUUAAAAUGAACAUGUAUUAACUUUGUAAAAAAUUAAGGCUAUAAGAUGUGCUGAGCUUUUGGAAUAGAUUUUCCUGUACUAUAUAUGACUGCCAGUGGGAGAAUUUGAAUAAAUGUGUAAAUUUGACUAAAUCUGAAUAAAUGUUCAUUUGACGGGACCAUAGAUUUGGGGGUCUAGCACUAGCUCUGUUUCUACACUCCUGCUGCUGCCUGAUAGAGAUGCCUCUCUUGUUUUGGACUCCAAGGUAAAGUAAGCCUUUUCAUUUUGUGCAUCAUAAUUUAAAAUGACAAAUGGAAUCUAUUUUUUUCUCCAUCUAACGCAUAUAUAGCUACCAUUUAUUAAUUCUUGUUUCCUUCUUAUGUUGCUCUUUGUUGUCAUUUUUAAGGGAAGAAGAGACUGGGUCACGGGAAUGCUUUAAUGUGGAAACCCUGAAUUCGUUCCACACAUCUGCCUUCUGGGGACACAGGUAAAUGAGGCCGAGUAGUGAAGUGGGAAGUUCCUGAAAAUGUGACAGCAAGCCUCUGUCCACUGCCAGACCGAAGACAGGGAGGCGCUCAUCGGCAAAUUAAUGGAUGUUAAAGGGAAGCAAAAUAACACCAAGAUAGACUCAUGAAUUACCCAGUGGCAGCACUCUUUGGUAGAGUGCAGUCUAAUUAAGUCUUUGAUAGAGUGCAGUCUAAUUAAGUAUUCAAAGAGCACAGAGUGAACAGACCUUCCUUCCUUGAGAUAUAAGCAUGUGUAUGUCUUCUAGCAAUUGUGAGGAGGAGAUGGAUAGAAGUGAAAAGUAAAAGGAAGAAUAUGGGAGAACUAAGGGGAGGAUAUUGAGUCACUGCAGAUUUAUACAAACAGCUCUAUUUUCUGUCUUGCUAAUGAAAAAAUUUACAUAAUGAAAUUUAAUUUUGCUGGGAAUUGAAGUAAAUUAAUUUGCCACAUCAAACUUUUUUCUUCCUUGGGUUUCUUUGGUUUUAAGUCUUUACAGAUUAUGAUUAUUCUGGGUACUCCAUUACUCAGCAUUGCAUCUGAGGCCUGGGAAUCAUUUCACACCUCAACAGAUCUUUAAAUGUAGCAUCAAGCGAUUUCAUAAUUAACUUGUCUUCACUCUGUGUCUUAACACACAAAAUUCCAGCCAAAUUAAAGUGUAACAGAUGGGAAAAGUCACUUGGAAAGGAAUGCUAAUUAAGUAGUUUUCAUUUCUCUUUGGAAGCCAGGAUUAAUAUACUGAUUUCAAAUAAUUGAGGAUGUGUUUCAAAUGCUUGGUAUGUGGGUUGAGAAUUCAAGGAGCAAUCAGUGCUUCUUUUGAGCCUUUAAGGAAAAUCUCGCCAUUCAAAGUGUUUCUUUAUCAUCCUCAUGGUUUAUCAUCACCCUGCUAAGCUCUUGUUUGUGCCUUGAACUUCUCAUUGUGAGAGCAGCGGAGACUGCUGACAACCUUGUGCUUGCUAUAAUUCAAUUCAUACCAAGGGAUAAAGCAAGCAAAACAUAGCUGGUCAGGGCAAAUCUCAAUAGAGCCCAAGCCCCUCAGGGAGAGAGCCAGUCAGUAUUCUGCUGUAGUAUAAUGUCACAGCCAGGAUACUGACAUUGAUACAAUCCUUCCAUAAUACUCAGAUUUCCAUAGUUUUAGUUGAACUCAUUUGUGUGAGUUUAUUUAGCUCAAUACAAUUUUAUCAUCUAGGUAGGUUUGUGUAUCCACCACCACAGUCAAUAUACUGUGCACUUCCAACACGACGAGGGUACCUUGUGUGGACCUUUAUGACUAAACUACACACCUUCUUCCAAACCCUGGUAACCACUAAUCUGCCCUCCAUUUCUAAAAUUUUGUCAUUUCAACAAUGUUAUAUAAAUUGGGUGAUACAUUCUAUAACCCUUUGUGAUUGGCUUUUUUCACUCAAAAUAAUUCCUAGAAGAUUUAUCCAACUUGUGGCAUGUAUCAAUAGUUCAUCCCAUUUCAUUGCUGAGUACUAUUCCAAGUUGUGUGUGUAUGUGUCUAUGUAUCUAUCUCCAUCCAUCUAUCCAUCCAUCCAUCCAUCCAUCCAUCCAUCCAUCCAUCCAUCCACAUACAUAUGUACACUACAGUUUGUUUAGUCAUUUAACUAUUGAAAUACAUUGGAGGUGAUUCUUAUUUUGGGCAAUUACAAAUAAAGCAACUAUGAACAUUCUUGUAAAAGUGUUUGUGAGAACAUAAGUUUUUAUUUCUCUGGGAUAAGUACCCAAAUGUUCAAUUACUGGGUCAUCUGGUAGUUGUAGGCUUAUUUUUUUUUAAAGAACUACCAAAUUGUUUUUCAGACUGGUUUUACCAUUUCAUAUUACUACCAUCAAUAUAUGAAUGAUUUAGCUUCUUUGUGUCCUCACAGCAUUUGGUAUUGUCGCUAUAUUUUAUUUUAGACCUUCUGACAGGUAUGUAAUGAUAUCACAUUGUGAUUUAAAUGUGCAUUUCCCUAAUUGCUAAUGAUGAUGACCAUCUUUUUUGGGCUUACCAUCCCAUAUCUUCUUCAGUAACAUCUGUUCAUGUCAUUUGCCAAUUUUCUAAUUGUAUUGAUUGUUGUUGAGUUUUGAGAAUUCUUUGUGUAUUCUAGAUACUAGUCCUUUGUCAGAUAUGUAGUUUGCAAAUAUUUUCUCCUAGUGCGGCUUGACUUUUCAUCCUCUCCACAUGUUUCA